UGGAGAGGUUAAAUGACUUGUCUAAGGUCACGCUGCGGGCGAAUGGAGGAGCUGGGAUUAGAACCCGGGUCUCUUGAAUCCCAGUCCUGCGCUGGGGCCAUGCCGUCCCCCAUUUGUCUAAAAGAGCGGGAUUCGCCGACACAAGACUCCAAAGGACGGAAGUCUGGCAGCUGGAGAGGAGACUCGGCAAGAGGAUGCAAGGAAAGGGGCGCGUUCGAGCGGACCGACCUGGCCAGGGGAUAAAUUCGGUGAGACUCCACGUUCACGGCUGUCAAGUACAGCGGAGCUGUUUAUGUGGCUGUACUUUCGGCGAUGAGCAGGAUAUGUUUAUCCAACGCACCUUAUUAAUAAUUCUGCUAGAAAACAGCGAUGGCGUCUUCUCACGGCCACGCUGCUCCGCCCCGAAGGCAGGGAGUGAAUCUCGGGGCUCUGUCCCAAGCAGACACCCCACCAGUAACAUUUCAGCUGCCUCUAAAGACAUUCCGAGGUACAUUGAGGUGGUCCAAACCCAGGCAAAGAGGACUUGCUCCACUGGGAUUUCGCCGGCAUAACCAGCCCCCCAACCCAGGGUGUUCGACAGGUCGUUGCCUGUGCCCAGCGGCAAGACUGCCACGUGUGGAAUGAACUUCUCCUGCCCCUGGAAGAGAAUGGACACGUCUCGGAGUCUCCCUUCCCAGAGCUUUGCCACAGACAUUGAAGAUAGCUGAGGUCUGUGAGGAGUCUCUGCCAUUCAGCCAACUGAUAACGUUUUUUUCUGCCAAUCAGAUAUGAAGCAAAAAAGGUAAAGAGGUAAGGUAUCCCCACUUUGCAUGAGCAGGAAUUGUGACGUCCCAUCAGGGCUAGCGGUUGGCACGUGGGAAAAAUGUAUUGGUCCAAUUUUAGCCCAAGAGCAAAACUGCAGCUACCAAAAGGCUUUGCCUGGAGCUGAGUGAUGUAGGCCAGGACUACCUAUAUAUGCUGCACUCCUGCCUGCUCGUUGCACUCUGGGCCCCGGGUGGGAACAGGACGAGGCGGGACCAGAGAGUGUAAGCGAUGCCGGGCAAGCUUCCAGCAUGGCGAGCAAGUCUUCCAUGUAAGAUCUUGGGCCAGGGGCUCGUCCAACGUCCCUAAGGAGAGGGAUUUCAUCCCUAGCCCUGGGAAUCCCGUCCGAGAGAUCAACCGGGUCCUCUUCGGUGUGGCAUGGAUCUCUCAGGCAGCGUUCUCUGUCCUUAGCAAUCGCUAGCUAAUCGAUCGAUGGUAUUUCUUUAGCUCUUACUGUGCGCAGAACAUUGUACUGUACACUAAUGGCGUCUGGUCUUCUGAAGUUAGGUCUCACUUCUACUAUCAAACCACGCUGGGAAAACUCCUUCCAUUUCACUAUUUACCAUACCACAGCACCUCUUACGUCGCCUGAGGGAUGGUCUCCAGCAUUCAGAGAACAACUGAAGGAAGGAAGCAAGGUUCAUUUAUUUCGAACGGAAGGUUGGCAAGUUCACCGGGGGGCGGGAAGGGGACAGAAUGCGUACUGUCCUUUCUCUUAAUAUUUUCCUCUGCCUCAGGCUCCAGCCUGGCAUCAGUGCUUGGAAGAUGAGUCACGCCAGCUAAGCGGCAAGAGCUACUGGGAAGGGCACGGGCCUAAUUCCAGCUCCUCUUCUGUCUUGCUGUGUGACCCGGGGGCAAGUCACUUGACUGUUCUGGGCUUCAGUGUCCU
Tachyglossus aculeatus (Australian echidna) is the source of this 1690-nucleotide long non-coding RNA. RefSeq lists it as uncharacterized. The record is from RefSeq and is a predicted model, not a curated record. NCBI's taxonomy places the organism in Eukaryota, Metazoa, Chordata, Mammalia, Monotremata, Tachyglossidae. The transcript is spliced from 5 exons.